Molecule: ribosomal RNA, 497 nt
Filed under: uncultured bacterium
Lineage: Bacteria
Description: partial 16S ribosomal RNA
Rfam family: Bacterial small subunit ribosomal RNA
Source: RNAcentral
GAUGAACGCUGGCGGCGUGCCUAAUACAUGCAAGUCGAGCGAACAGACGAGGAGCUUGCUCCUCUGACGUUAGCGGCGGACGGGUGAGUAACACGUGGAUAACCUACCUAUAAGACUGGGAUAACUUCGGGAAACCGGAGCUAAUACCGGAUAAUAUAUUGAACCGCAUGGUUCAAUAGUGAAAGACGGUUUUGCUGUCACUUAUAGAUGGAUCCGCGCCGCAUUAGCUAGUUGGUAAGGUAACGGCUUACCAAGGCGACGAUGCGUAGCCGACCUGAGAGAGUGAUCGGCGACACGGGAGCGGAGACGCGGUCCAGGCUCCUGCGGGAGGCAGCAGUAGGGAAUGGUCCGCAGUGGGCGAAAGCCUGACGGAGCAACGCCACGUGAGUGAUGAAGGUCUUCGGAUCGUAAAGCUCUGUUAUUAGGGAAGAACAAAUGUGUAAGUAACUAUGCACGUCUUGGCGGUACCUAAUCAGAAAGCCACGGCUAACUACGUG